Molecule: long non-coding RNA, 845 nt
Filed under: Struthio camelus australis
Lineage: Eukaryota; Metazoa; Chordata; Aves; Struthioniformes; Struthionidae
Description: lncRNA (ENSSCUG00000000447.1)
Source: RNAcentral
CUGAAAAGCAUUUGGAAGUCACACCUAGAAGGAUGCUGGCACCUGUGCUGCUACCAUUCUCCACGCCGGCUCAUGAUUCCUUCUCGGCUCAUGACCCACUCUGGAGUCCUUCCAAAUCAGGGAUUGCCAGCAGGUCAAGAUGAGCCCACAAGUAUCUCUGUGAUAGUGAAAGCUAUGAGAACUAAAGGCUAAGCCAUGAGGUGGAUACUCUGCAAAGGUGGUAUUGUGAAGAUCUGUUGCUCUUACAAAUGGCUAUUUAGAAUUGGAAAGAGAAUAAAGCUCUUGCAAGCACAACAGAUACUUUGGGGAAGACACCCUGGGGAAGACAGCCUGCAGUUCCCAUGUAAGAAGAAAUUGCUAUUUCAUCAUAAAUAUGUGAAAACAGGACAACUAAGCCACCUUAACAGCCUUACUACAGGUGUCCAGCAAAGGAAGUUCUCGGCCGUUGAGGGACAAGGAUCAGGAAUCAUGGGAACUUGCAAAGACUUUGCUUUCUCCUCAAGGGGAAGAUUUAACUGAUUUAUAUUUAAACAGUCUCAGAGGGAAGGGGGAACUGUCCACAGAACCUGCGCGGGCAACGUGGCUCCCUGUGAAGGCAUCAGCUAAUAGGAAGAAGGAGUAGAUUCUUGAUGUGGAUUUUAAUGGUCAGGACUUCCAAAUACACUGAACCAUUUCCUAGCUGGCCCUGAAUCCCACCGGUUAUGCCUCCAAAAUUUCUCCAAAAUGAGUCCAAUAGGUAUUCUCCUGAGCACCUCCAGUCAAAACUCACUAGCAAGUCCUUUACUAUGUACUUCCUUCAUCAUAUCUUGAACAAGAAAAAAAUAAAAAAACAAAAAACCCUUCCA